UACGUAGGGACCAAGCGUUGUUCGGAUUUACUGGGCGUAAAAGGGUGCGUAGGCGGCCUGUUAAGUCAGGGGUGAAAGACGGUAGCUCAACUAUCGCAGUGCCCUUGAUACUGAUGGGCUUGAAUUGACUAGAGGGUAGGCGGAAUGUGACAAGUAGCGGUGAAAUGCAUAGAUAUGUCACAGAACACCGAUUGCGAAGGCAGCUUACUAUGGUCUUAUUGACGCUGAGGCACGAAAGCGUGGGGGAUCAAAACAGG
RNAcentral lists this ribosomal RNA (257 nucleotides) under uncultured bacterium. Its description in RNAcentral is "partial 16S ribosomal RNA". It matches the Rfam family "Bacterial small subunit ribosomal RNA", at positions 524 to 776 of the family's 1533-position model. The record is from RNAcentral.